UAUCUUUAUUUAUACAGCUGUUUGACGC
Molecule: non-coding RNA, 28 nt
Filed under: Rattus norvegicus (Norway rat)
Lineage: Eukaryota; Metazoa; Chordata; Mammalia; Rodentia; Muridae
Source: RNAcentral